RNAcentral lists this ribosomal RNA (585 nucleotides) under Microbotryum afromontanum. RNAcentral's name for it is "partial large subunit ribosomal RNA". It matches the Rfam family "Eukaryotic large subunit ribosomal RNA", at positions 37 to 635 of the family's 3401-position model. The record is from RNAcentral. Lineage: Eukaryota; Fungi; Basidiomycota; Microbotryomycetes; Microbotryales; Microbotryaceae.
UGCAUAUCAAUAAGCGGAGGAAAAGAAACUAACAAGGAUUCCCCUAGUAACGGCGAGUGAAGCGGGAAAAGCUCAAAUUUGUAAUCUGGCGCCUUUGGCGUCCGAGUUGUAAUCUCGAGAAGUAUUUUCCGCGCUGGACCGCACAUAAGUCUGUUGGAAUACAGCGUCAUAGUGGUGAGAACCCCGUAUAUGGUGCGGAUGCCCAGUGCUUUGUGAUAUACUUUCGAAGAGUCGAGUUGUUUGGGAAUGCAGCUCAAAUUGGGUGGUAAAUUCCAUCUAAAGCUAAAUAUUGGCGAGAGACCGAUAGCGAACAAGUACCGUGAGGGAAAGAUGAAAAGCACUUUGGAAAGAGAGUUAACAGUACGUGAAAUUGUUGGAAGGGAAACGCUUGAAGUCAGACUUGCAUUUUGGAGUUCAGCCGCAAGGUGUAUUCUCCAAUUCGCAGGCCAGCAUCAGUUUUUGGGGGUGGAAAAUCGCGGUUUGAAGGUAGCAGUCUCGGCUGUGUUAUAGCUUUCCGCUGGAUUCACUUUUGGGGACUGAGGAAACGCAGUACGCUUUUUGCAAGAUUCUAGAGUCUUUCGUACU